GGGACACAGGCAUGGGUGAACUGGGUGGCCACCUGGGACCUGGACAGAAAGGAGGCCCGAAAAUGAAAAAAAAAAAAUUACAAUUGCAAAAAAAAGUUUUAAUAUUGAGCAUAUAUGAGACUGGCAAUGUUAUCAAUUGAGAAUGAACUAUUUAAAGACAUCGAUACUGCAGAUGUGAUAAAGACUUUUGCAACAAAAAAUGAAGCAGAG
This is a long non-coding RNA of Gavialis gangeticus (Gharial), 210 nucleotides long. RefSeq lists it as uncharacterized. The record is from RefSeq and is a predicted model, not a curated record. The transcript has 3 exons. NCBI's taxonomy places the organism in Eukaryota, Metazoa, Chordata, Crocodylia, Gavialidae.